CCUACGGGAGGCAGCAGUGGGGGAUAUUGCACAAUGGGGGGAACCCUGAUGCAGCGACGCCGCGUGGGUGAAGAAGCGCCUCGGCGCGUAAAGCCCUGUCAGCAGGGAAGAAAAUGACGGUACCUGAAGAAGAAGCCCCGGCUAACUACGUGCCAGCAGCCGCGGUAAUACGUAGGGGGCAAGCGUUAUCCGGAUUUACGGGGGGUAAAGGGGGCGCAGACGGCGAUGCAAGCCAGGAGGGAAAGCCCGGGGCCCAACCCCGGGACUGCUCUUGGAACUGCGUGGCUGGAGUGGAGGAGGGGCAGGCGGAAUGCGUGGUGUAGCGGUGAAAUGCGUAGAUAUCAGGAGGAACCCCGGUGGCGAAGGCGGCCUGCUGGAUUGCAACUGACGUUGAGGCCCGAAAGCGUGGGGAGCAAACAGGAUUAGAUACCCGUGUAGUC
RNAcentral lists this ribosomal RNA (440 nucleotides) under uncultured bacterium. Its description in RNAcentral is "partial 16S ribosomal RNA". It matches the Rfam family "Bacterial small subunit ribosomal RNA", at positions 338 to 795 of the family's 1533-position model. The record is from RNAcentral.